Molecule: long non-coding RNA, 245 nt
Filed under: Elaeis guineensis (African oil palm)
Lineage: Eukaryota; Viridiplantae; Streptophyta; Magnoliopsida; Arecales; Arecaceae
Description: long non-coding RNA (EGUI_LNC021198)
Source: RNAcentral
ACAGUAUGCUGGGAGCUUUGGCAAUUGGUGAUAUGGCAUAGCGGAUAGUGGGCAGUGGUGGACGGUUGGUGAUGAGGGCCGAAUAGUGAAAAAUUUUAAAAAAAAAUUUAGAAAAUAUAGGGGAUCUGCCCCUUUCAUGGUUGCUCUAGUCAUUAGUCAAUCACCAGCGGCCUUGACCUUUGAAAAGGAUGGUGGGGGGUUGGGCGACAUGAGUUGGGUUGUGGCACCAAGAGAUAGUGAUGACG